Molecule: ribosomal RNA, 710 nt
Filed under: Pelagomonas calceolata
Lineage: Eukaryota; Pelagophyceae; Pelagomonadales; Pelagomonadaceae
Description: SSU rRNA
Rfam family: Eukaryotic small subunit ribosomal RNA
Source: RNAcentral
GCUCGUAGUUGGAUUCCUGACCUGGGGUAGCCGGUCCGCCUUGCAAAAGGUGCGCACUGAGCGGCCUCGGUCAUCCUUGAGAAGAGCGGUCCUGGCAUUCAGUUGUCGGGGUCGGGAUUCUCGACGUUUACUGUGAAAAAAUCAGAGUGUUCAACGCAGGCUUACGCCUUGAAUACAUUAGCAUGGAAUAAUGAGAUAGGACCUUGGCGGUCUAUUUUGUUGGUUUGCACGCCGAGGUAAUGAUUAAAAGGGACGGUUGGGGUUCUUCGUAUUCAAUUGUCAGAGGUGAAAUUCUUGGAUUUAUGGAAGACGAACUGCUGCGAAAGCGUCGAACAAGGACGUUCUCAUUAAUCAAGAACGAAAGUUAGGGGAUCGAAGAUGAUUAGAUACCAUCGUAGUCUUAACCAUAAACUAUGCCGAUUCAGGAUUGGCGGUCGUUUGUUCUCGACUCCGUCAGCACUGUAUGAGAAAUCAAAAUCUUUGGGUUCCGGGGGGAGUAUGGUCGCAAGGCUGAAACUUAAAGAAAUUGACGGAAGGGCACCACCAGGAGUGGAGCCUGCGGCUUAAUUUGACUCAACACGGGGAAACUUACCAGGUCCAGACAUAGUAAGGAUUGACAGAUUGAGAGCUCUUUCUUGAUUCUAUGGGUGGUGGUGCAUGGCCCUUCUUAGUUGGUGGAGUGAUUUGUCUGGUUAAUUCCCGUUAACCAA